Molecule: ribosomal RNA, 254 nt
Filed under: uncultured bacterium
Lineage: Bacteria
Description: partial 16S ribosomal RNA
Rfam family: Bacterial small subunit ribosomal RNA
Source: RNAcentral
UACGUAGGGUGCGAGCGUUGUCCGGAAUUAUUGGGCGUAAAGAGCUCGUAGGCGGUUUGUCACGUCUGCUGUGAAAUCCCGAGGCUCAACCUCGGGCCUGCAGUGGGUACGGGCAGACUGGAGUGCGGUAGGGGAGAUUGGAAUUCCUGGUGUAGCGGUGGAAUGCGCAGAUAUCGAGAGGAACACCUGAGGUGAAGACGGGUUGCUGGGCCGACACUGACGCUGAGUGCGCGAAAGCCAGGGGAGCAAACGGG